CAAGGCAGAGCUUGAUUAGUUAAGCAUUUCAUUUACACUGAGAAGUCACUGUGCGAUUCAGUUUGUUUUGAU
RNAcentral lists this transfer RNA (72 nucleotides) under Zelandoperla fenestrata. RNAcentral's name for it is "tRNA-Val". It matches the Rfam family "tRNA". From Rfam's summary of the family: Transfer RNA (tRNA) molecules are approximately 80 nucleotides in length. Their secondary structure includes four short double-helical elements and three loops (D, anti-codon, and T loops). The record is from RNAcentral. Lineage: Eukaryota; Metazoa; Arthropoda; Insecta; Plecoptera; Gripopterygidae.